Podarcis lilfordi (Lilford's wall lizard) is the source of this 1043-nucleotide non-coding RNA. The record is from the annotation of a GenBank genome assembly. Lineage: Eukaryota; Metazoa; Chordata; Lepidosauria; Squamata; Lacertidae.
GUAAAAUAUAACAGAAUUUAAUGGUGUGGAUACAGAGAGAUUACAUUGCUCAUAAUUUGGAAAAGAAAAAAAAAAAGGAUGAAAGGAUAAUUUAUUAUUUCCUCUUUAUUAAGCACUCCUUGCUGUUCAGAUCAGGUCUCAACACAAUGAUGUAGCAUUUGGGAGCAAAGAUGGAGCCCAGUAUCCCAGCACUGGAGGCCAAAAUGGAGAAGAUCUCCACAGCCGCCAUGUAUUUCCCCUUGGUGCUCAGGUAGACCGGAACAAAUGAGAUCCAAACACUACAAAACAAGAACAUGCUGAAGGUGAUGAAUUUGGCCUCAUUGAAGCUCUCAGGCAGUUUCCGGGCUAAAAAUGCUACAACAAAGCUGAGAAUGGCCAAAAAGCCCAUGUAGCCCAGGACACAGUAAAACAGGGCAACUGACCCUUCGUUGCAGCCUAGAAUGAUUUCUCUCAUCACAGACUGCAUGUCAGAAUCAGGAAAUGGGGGGGAGGUUCCUAACCAUAUAGUACAAAUGCCCACUUGGAUAAGGGAACAAGAAAUCACAAUGGAGCUUCCAAGACUUUUCCCCACCCACUUCCUCAUUCUGGAUCCUGGUUUGGUGGCUACAAAGGCCAGAACCACCAUGAUAGUCUUGGCCAGCACACAAGAAACGGUCACUGUGAAAACAAGGCCAAAAGCCAUUUGUCGGAGCAGGCAGCUCACUCUUUCUGGAGGGCUGAGGAAGAUCAAUGGGCAGAGGAAGCAGAGCAGGAGGAAAGUGAGGAGAGUGUAGGUGAGGUCCCGAUUGUUUGCUCUGACAAUGGGUGUGUCCUGAUGUUUAAUGAAGAUGGCAAGGGCUAGUAUUGUGAAGAGAAAGAGAGAAAGAGCCAACAAUGCUAAGCUCAUCCCCAGAGGCUCUUUAAAGGACAGGAAGCUGAUGGUCUUUGGAACGCAUUGUGAUUUUUUCAUGUUGGUAUAAUGAUCUUCUGGGCACACAACACAGUCAACCAUGUCUGGAAAGAAAAUAAUACAUUCAGAUUUUGGAUGUGUUGCAGAGCAACUG